CUUCUUUUUUUAAUUUUUAAAAAUGUUUAGUUAUUUUUGAGAGAGAGACAGAGCACGAGCAGGGGAAGGGGCAGAGAGAGAGGGAGACAAAGAAUCUGAAGCAGCCUCUAGGCUCUGAGCUGUCAGCCCAGAACCCGACACGGGGCUCGAACUCACAAACCGGGAGGUCAUGACCUGACUGAAGCUGGCCGCUUAACUAACUGAGCCACCCAGGUGCCCCUACACCUAACUCUUCUUAAAGCCUGCAGCGAGAGCAUGUACUCUGGGCUUUCAUUUGCAAAUGUAACCUCAAACGUAAGCUGUUUCCAUCUAUAGCUCUGUUUCAGGCAGAAAGAGUGAUUCUCUAAAGGGUAUAUCGUUCAUCUAUCCUUCUUAGAUUUGCAUUUCACAAAGUGCAAGGGAAUCACUGAAGAGCCCCUUAAAAGUGGUAAGGUCCUGGCCCGCUGUGCAUCUCUGAAAUCUGAAUCUCCGGUAUGGGCUGGAAAAACCUGCUGUAAACCAGCAGCAUGGCACCCUGCAUUGAGACCCUACGCCCUCCAUGGCUAAAUCUGCCUGGGCCCGAGCCAGAUCACAGGAGCAUUUUUACCAAAUUGUGGACUGCUAUGAGGGCCUCAGAGACCUUGGAAGAAGCAGUCGUGUAGAGAAAGCAUCCAGCUUUCAAGUCAUGGCUCAAGUCAUGUACCGCUAUCGUCCAAGUGCUCUGUCCUCCACCAUUAGUGACAGGCCCCUCGCAGGAGUGGGAGCGCUGGGAACUCUUAGCUCCCCUCUUUGGCCGAGAUCCCUCAUUGGAUCCCAGAAAUCUGCAGUCUCUCUUUUGUGUUAAUCAUUAAAUAGAAAUGCAUUAUUGCUGUAGUUACUGUAGGAAUAUUCUUCAGGAUGCUGUCCACUGUCGCUCAAGGCCUAGUGUCCCCUGGGAUAAUUAUCCUUAGGUCUGGCUGCUACCGAGAACUGUAACCUCUCAGGUAAUUAAUACUUGUUUUAUCUUCUGGGCAACGCGAACGUGGCAACUGCUCGUGUUUUCGGCUUUGCUUUGGCAACUGGACAAUAUAGCAUUAAACACACGGUUCACUUUAAUAACUGUGUAGGCCAUUAUGGCAUAUGUUUCCGUAUGCUGGCUUUCCUUGUUUUUGUCUCAUGAUGUCCCCCCACUUCUCCCUUUGCCAUGAUUUUUUAACCUUCGGGGUAAACUCUUUCAGUUGUUCAAUAUACAUGUGUUGAUUCCUUAAAUCCUUUAGGAAUGAAGAUAUCAAUUCAAUAAUAAAGGAAGACCAUUUAGUAGUCCCACCUUAUCCACAGGGGAUAAAUUCCAAGACCCCCUAGCAGAUUCCGGAAACUGCAUAUAGUACUGAACUCUAUAUAUACUGUUUUUUUUUUCCUAUGCAUACGUAUCUAUGAUAAAGCUUAAUUUAUAAGUGAGGCACAGUCAGAGAUGAACAGUCUCUCUCUGUCUCAGAAUAUCUUGUACCAUAUUCACCCUUCUUGGGAGGAUGUGAGAUGCUAACAUGCCUACAUGAGUAGAUGAAGUGAGGUGAAUGAUCUGGCAUCGUGAUAGAGUGUUAGGCUACUCUUGACCUUCUGAUGAUAUGUCAGAAGGAUCAUCUGCUCCUAGACCACGACUGGCCACAAGUACCUGAAACUGUAGAUAAAGAGGAACUAAUAUGGAAUACAAGACAUUAAAUUUUUGUUUUUGUUUUUCUACACAUAAAAUGCAUUUAAUAAAAAUCUGCUAGCAGAAUGAGUGGUGAAUUCUAUUAGGUGUGUAAAGAAAAUCUGGGCUUAGGCUAUUUUAGCAGAAGAUGUAAGAAUAAAAUCAAUGAAUAAUAGGAAGAAUAGCCAAUGGCAGUUGUGAGCUAUGUGCUGUGGACCUGACCUUACUUAAUCUUCACAAGAAAUAAAUGAGCUAUGUAUAACUAACACAGGUAAGGACAAUGAGCCGUAGACAGGGCAAUGACUUCCCCAGGUCACCAGAGCAGGAAUUUUUAAGGCAGCCUUCGAUUUAGUGAGUACAGGACUUUGGCUGGCUUCUGUCCUCUUUGUUGCCAGUGUUAAUUUGUCCCAAGUAACUUAAAUUUUAGCUGAGGUUGUCCUGUUCUCUGAGAUCAAGACAAGAUUGAUAUAAACUCUUGCUUCAUAUCCUGGAUGAAAUCCAGUGUCUCCCCCCAAAUCUCUGCAGCUUCCUGGAGGCUUUUAGUCCCACAGUCAAUUUCUGGCUCAAAGUUCCUGCUUUGAUGGAGUACUUGAACUUCCCCCCAUCUCUCCCCUUCAGCUAUUCUCUUCUCUCUGCUCUGUGCUGACCCAACGUGGAAUUUGGUUCCUUUGGCUGGUUUUCAUAAGCCCACUCUUCUGAUAUAAUUGUGUGUAGCAGAUUUUAGGAAGGUUUGGGGAGACAAAUAUACUAUUUAGAGACUUGGGGUUGGGGGAGACCAAUACUACUUACAGAUUCCAGAAUCCUAAAGCAUUUAAUGCUGAUCAUUUGGACACUCCCUCCUUUAAUGUUCUUUGGCUAUCUUGCUGUGGGGAAUUGCUCGUUGGCCAAUUUCUCCAACAGGUGCCAGGCUCGUGACUCAGUGCCUCUCCCUUCUCCCCACUCAGUGGCUACCCAGCCCCGACAGUUGGGGGGGCUUGAGGUAUGGGGGUGCAGAAGGUGUUCUAUGGUGUGUGAGCAAGGAGAGCUUUGAGGUGGCCCGUCUCUAGACCAUCAACUUGCAGACCAAUUGAUCGGCCUGAAAAGACCCCUGCGGUCUAGAUAUUUUUCCUCUUCUCUCCCUUCUCCCCUUCCCUCGUGACCCCCUUUCCUGCUUUACAGAGGAAUAGCAUACCUCUCACCCAUCCCAAAUUUCACUAUAGCACAUUGCUUUGGAGUGUUAAAACCUCUUCACGAAAGAAUCAUUUGAAAUAUUGAUGUGUGUCUAAGAACGUGAUAGACUCGAGCGAGUGGGUAGCUAUUCCUUUUUAGGUCUGUUGGCUUACGACGAAAUUGAAGGAGAACUUGAUUGAGUUGUCAGCUGAUAGAUCAUUUAAAAAUACAUUUUGCAGAUACAUAACUAUGCUAAUUUGGGGAAAUAUAACUCAGGGAGAACCCAACAGUUGAGUGAUGUUGCUGAACUAAAAUGCCUUCAUUACCACCUACUACUUAUUUAGGUGAGUCAGGCGUUUUCAGCAUUUUCAUCUAUAAAAAAGACAAGUCAAGGUGGCAUUAAUGCUAUGUCCUGUGUCAUUUUGGCACUAAGGAUAUAGGAAUUCAGAAAAAGAACUGUGCAAAAUCUAUUAAGAGAAACAUUUCCAAGUUUUCUCUUACUUUUCAUGUAACAUACAGGCAUACCCCGUAUUACUGCGUUUUGCUUUAUUGCUCUUUGCAGAUAUUGUGGUCUUUGCAAAUUAAAGGUUUGUGGCAACCAUGCGUUAAGCAGGUCUGUUGGCGCCAUUUUUCCAACCGCAUUUGCUCACACCAUGUCUCUGUGUCACGUUUGGGUAAUUCUCGCGGUGUUUCAAACUUUUCAGGAUUAUUAGAUUUUUGAUGAUGAUUAGUGAUUAUGACGAGCUGAAAGCUCAGAGCGUGGUUAGCUUUUUUUAGCAAUAAAGUGUUUUUAUUUAAAAAAUUUUUUUUAAAGUUUUUAUUUCUUUUGAGAGAGAAAGUGUGCAGGUCAAUGGGGGAGGGGGAGGGGGAGGGGGAGAAAGAGAAUCCCAAGCAGGCUGUGCGCUGUCAGCCUACAGCUUUACUCAGGGCUUGAUCUCCCAAACCGUGAGAUCACGACCUGAGCCAAAGUCAAGAGUUGGGCAUUUAACUGAUGGCCACCUUGUCAAAUAUUGCACCCCAGCAAUAAAGUAUUUUUUAAAUGAAUAUAUGUACAUUUUUUAAAGAUGUAAUGUUACUGCACACUUAAUAGGCUACAGUUUGCUAUAAACAUAAUUUUUAUAUGCACUGGGACACCGCAAAAUUUACUUGGCUCACUUUAUUGCUAUAUGUGUUUGUUUUUUUGUUAAAUGUAUAUAGAGAGAGUGUAAGCAGAGGAGAGGGGCAGAGGGAGAGAGAGGGAGAGCAGAGAGAGAGAGAGAAUCUUUAGCAUGCUCCACACUUAGUGUGGAGCCCAACAUGGGUUCAAUCCCACAACCCCGGGAUCAUGACCUGAGCCGAAAUCAAGAGUCAGACGCUUAACCGACUGAGCCACAUGGUAUGUGUUUUAUUGUGGUGUUAUGAUCAAACCUGUGGUGUCUCCAAGGUUUGAGAUCUUUUUCUUCAAUGGUGUCCUACUAAUAACUGUCAUGAUAAUUCAACCCGCACAUUUUUAACAAUUUAGAACUUUAGAUUCAUAGGGAAUAAGCAAAUCGACUUCAGAUUUUAAUAGGGUGAUCCAUAAGGCUUUCAAACAUGAAAUAUGAAUAAAAUGCUAUGGCAGAAGCGGACUAGCAAUCCAAGCUGAAGGAUAAAACAUAAACGAAAGCAAAGGAUAAGAUAAACAGAAGUGUAGGAAGAAAUAAUUCUAGUAUGUUCUUCCUGUAACUCAGUAGAUCCUUUUGCACAGGUCCCAGUGCAAAUGUGCCCAGACCACUUUGGAGGGUCCCUGUGUAAUUCAGGGGGCAGGGCGCUUCUCCUGUGUGCAAGAGGAUGGGAGGCAGGGGGAGGAUGAUUAAUGAUUAUACUCCUGCACGAGUCAUUGCCACGGGUUAGGUCCUCCGUGGACACUGACCUUAGAGUUAUUAGUUUGUUCUUUUUUCAGUGUAGUUACUUUUCACUGAAAAACAAAAAUGCUUUACAAAUACGAACCCAUAAAACCAAUCUUAUCUCUUCUUCCCAGAUGGUGCAAUAAAGACCUAAAAAUAUCAAGGAAGGUUUCUGAAAUAUUACGAGCAGUGGAAGAAAGAGGAAGAGGGUCCUUGGGUCCUCAUUCUAGGAUUAGUAGACGCCAUUUGUGGCUGCGGUGUGAGAAUUGCCUUUUGAAACAAGCCUGCUGAAGUCUGUCCCCGCCAGGCCUCCUGUACCCUUCACCUAGUGCCCCCAUACGUGUCAGAUAUGUCAAAAAUAGAGGGGAUUUUCAUCGAUUGUGUUGGCUCCUUCCUUCACCUCCUGGAACUCAUGUGAGGUGUGGGCGCCUGGAUACAAAGCAGACAUAGCAUAAUGGCUGUGUUCUUAGCCUGUGGCCUGCAAGGGAUCCCUGUGGCUGUGGAGACCCACAGGCCUGUCAUUGUAGCUGUCACCUGCACUCGUCACAUCCUUCAUUCUUCCUACUCCAAGGGGAUAUUCCCAUCAAGAGGAGGUACAAUGAGUACCCACGGUGACAAUGCAUGUGGACAACACGUUGCCAUCUGCCUGGGGUUGAGACUAUUGUAAUGCCUUGCAGCCAUCAUAAUAUCCAGACCCCUGCCCUGGUUUCUUCUGGAAACUGCAUAGGAAAUACAGGCAAGUCUUCGCUAACCCCAGGGCAUGAUGGCAUGGUAAUUUUUUGAAUAAAUCUUAAAAUAAUCUGCUUUCCUUAUGACCCAUGCUUUCCGCCCCAAAGUCAUAAGCUAUAAAAAAUUCGGCUGGGUUUAUGUUUCUGCUUAAUCAAGGUUUACUGUCUGCCUUAAACUUGGUGCCAAGUGACAUCCGGUAAUCAUUCUUUGUUUGGAGCAUCCCAGCAGCCGAGAAGUCAAAUCCAUCAUCAAGUGACAGUUGCACUCAAAUUCCAGAAGGGAGACAAUUCAUAAACCUCUCAUCUUUAUUUAUUUUUCCCUUACCCCCAUCAGGGAAUCCUCUAGCCUGAUGCUAUUAGUAGAUAGGGCAUGACCUCCCGUACAACUGUAAUAUUUCUUCACUUGGCGUGCUUGGCGAGAAGACUCUGGAAAAAUGGAUAUGGAGAGAACAGGAUAUAUAAUUCCUGCCUUCCUAGAAUAUGUCACAGUGAUAAGUGGAUGACGAAUGCUGAUGAGUAUCGACUACUUCCUCAAUCAAGCCCUGUGUUCUGGAGUGUGUGUGUGUGUGUGUGUGUGUGUGUGUCUGUUGCAGCUGCUGUCUGUAGUCUAUUACUAAACCAUCAAAAUGAUCACAAACAAUCCAAGAAGAAAUUGAAACGGCAUUAGAGGCAUUGUUUUAUCCAUCUACAGUAUUAACAGUGCGGUUUAGCAAAACCACUCCUGGAAUACAUUUUGCCUUAAUAAUGUAUGAGUGGCAGUAGCUGCAAAGAAUUUCUGGAAUCAGAGUCACAGAUGUGGACAUGUUUUUAUGAGUUGAAUUAUAACAAAAUAAUUGUCUUGACUGAAGGGUAGAUAGUGGAAGUGGGCUUCACUCGAUAAGCAUUCUUUUUGCUAUCAUCCAAAUCUGAAGACAAAAGCACCUGAAUCAAACACUUACUGCCUGGGUACUUUGGUCAGGUUGUUAACCCUCCUACUACCUUGAAACCUGCCUUAAGGGAUUUGGGGAUAAUAAAGCUGGAGAGGAAGGUGUGACAGGAGGAGAACACAGGCCUUGGAGUCUGACCCCCCAGUGUCACUUAUUGACCAAGUACCAUUGGAUAAACUGCCAAACUUCUCUGAGUCCCGUUUCCUCAUUUAAUGGAUGUGGAUAACAAUAUACUCCUCACAGAUUGUUAUGAGGAAUUAGCUGAAGAUAUUGCAAGGAGGAUGGUUGGAAUACAGUAGGUGCUCCUGGGCUGUAAAGUCUCUUUACAUUCUCCUUAUAAGCCUGAAGAAAUUGUUCUUUAUACAAGCCUCGGAUCAAAUGACCCAAAUCCAAUUGCUCGGCUCAAUGGAUAUUGAGUAAUAAAAACUGUUGUGAAAGUACUGUGUCAAUAUUAGUUAUUAUUAAUGACAAAAAUUUAAUGAUCAAGAGACUGACUCUCCCACUGUAAAAUCUCUAAAAUUGUAAAUCUCUCACUCUGAAUUUCUAAGACACAUGAAGCAAAUCUUCUCAGGCAUUGGACAAUGGGCAGCACUGCCUGGUGUCCAAUGUCUGAAAACUUGUUUCAUGUAUUUUGUUUGGUUUUCAGUUGUUCCAGAUGGGGUGAUAAGUCCAGUCCAUGUUGUCCCAUUAUGGCUAGAAGUGGAGGCCUGACAGUGGUCUGUAAUGAACUGAAGAUAUACCUAGUAAGAAAAUAAGAAGAGGCAUAGCUGAAAAGCCCAUAUAAGAAACAAAAUGGAAUAUUAAAAAUUAUUUGAUUAGCACAAAGGAAAGCAGAAAAGGAGGAAUAAAAACAACAAAAUCAUACGGACUGUUAGAAAAUAAAUAACAAGAUGAUAGGUUAAAACCCAACUACAUCAAUAAUUACAUUAAAUGUAAAUGGACCAAACAUUUCACUUAAUGAGAAUGGAUGAAAGUCAAAAUUAUGGUAGAUAUGAAGUUGCUCUACCAGACCCUCUUCAAAGAAGAACUUGCCCAGGCUGUCAGAAGUGAGCCUUUAUCUGCUAAGUCCUUCACGUUUGCCACAUAUGCAGAGAACUGCCUCACUCAGAGCAUGACCUUCUUAAUGUGGUUCACACCUGACUACUAUUGAGGCAGAGACAUAAAGACCUGGCCCUUUCAGCCCAAUGUGGGACAACUCGGACAAGCUGUAUAUACACCAGUGUUCCAGGUCAAGUGGGCUGAGGCUCUGUCAAGACUUCAGUGCAGUUUGGCUUUUCCCUCUGUUCCAUCCUGCCUACUCCCCCUCCUUUCCACAGUUGCUGAUUCCAAUAUAUACUCUGCACAGAAACCUCCGGCUCUGCAUCGCUUUUGGAGAACCCAACCUAUGACAAAGGCCCAAUUAUAUGCCAUACAUAGAGAUUUUCAAUGUAAAGACAGACUGAAUAAAAGAAUAAGAAAAAAUAUAUACUGUGCAAACAGUAGACUUAAGAAAACUGAUGUUACUAAAGAAAAAGAGAGCCGUUUUAAAUGAUUACAGUAUAAAUUCAAUAGGAAAUCACAAAAAUCCUAAAUGUGUAGGUACCUAAUAAUAAAAUUUCAAAAUAUAUGAAGAAAACUGAUGUAAAUAAAGGAAGAUAUAGAUAUAUCCAUAGUCAUAACUGGAGGGUUUAUAUGACCUUCUGGAAGUAGAAAAAAAUCAGUAGGAAAUUAAAAGCUUUGAAAGGAAUAUCAAAUGACCCAAUUUUCAUUUACAGAAUACUAUAAGCAACAAUG
This is a long non-coding RNA of Acinonyx jubatus (cheetah), 8089 nucleotides long. RefSeq lists it as uncharacterized. The record is from RefSeq and is a predicted model, not a curated record. The transcript is spliced from 5 exons. Lineage: Eukaryota; Metazoa; Chordata; Mammalia; Carnivora; Felidae.